RNAcentral lists this ribosomal RNA (497 nucleotides) under uncultured bacterium. RNAcentral's name for it is "partial 16S ribosomal RNA". It matches the Rfam family "Bacterial small subunit ribosomal RNA", at positions 28 to 507 of the family's 1533-position model. The record is from RNAcentral.
GAUGAACGCUGGCGGCGUGCCUAAUACAUGCAAGUCGAGCGAACAGACGAGGAGCUUGCUCCUCUGACGUUAGCGGCGGACGGGUGUGUAACACGUGGAUAACCUACCUAUAAGACUGGGAUAACUUCGGGAAACCGGAGCUAAUACCGGAUAAUAUAUUGAACCGCAUGGUUCAAUAGUGAAAGGCGGUUUUGCUGUCACUUAUAGAUGGAUCCGCGCCGCAUUAGCUAGUUGGUAAGGUAACGGCUUACCAAGGCAACGAUGCGUAGCCGACCUGAGAGGGUGAUCGGCCACACUGGAACUGAGACACGGUCCAGACUCCUACGGGAGGCAGCAGUAGGGAAUCUUCCGCAAUGGGCGAAAGCCUGACGGAGCAACGCCGCGUGAGUGAUGAAGGUCUUCGGAUCGUAAAACUCUGUUAUUAGGGAAGAACAAAUGUGUAAGUAACUAUGCACGUCUUGACGGUACCUAAUCAGAAAGCCACGGCUAACUACGUG